AUGAGCGGAGCGGGCAGCCCCUGAAUAUAAUGAGGACACCAUCUCAAGGCGA
Molecule: small nucleolar RNA, 52 nt
Filed under: Pyrobaculum aerophilum str. IM2
Lineage: Archaea; Thermoproteati; Thermoproteota; Thermoprotei; Thermoproteales; Thermoproteaceae
Description: PAEsR115
Source: RNAcentral